GCCAGUGAAGCUGAUGAGGCAUAGCACUCGCCUUGUAAGCGAGCGGUAGCAGGUUCGAUUCCUGUCGCUGGCU
This 73-nucleotide transfer RNA is filed under the name Fodinibius sp. RNAcentral describes it as "tRNA-Thr". It matches the Rfam family "tRNA". Rfam says of the family: Transfer RNA (tRNA) molecules are approximately 80 nucleotides in length. Their secondary structure includes four short double-helical elements and three loops (D, anti-codon, and T loops). Lineage: Bacteria; Pseudomonadati; Balneolota; Balneolia; Balneolales; Balneolaceae. The record is from RNAcentral.